Myotis lucifugus (little brown bat) is the source of this 1168-nucleotide long non-coding RNA. RefSeq lists it as uncharacterized. The record is from RefSeq and is a predicted model, not a curated record. Lineage: Eukaryota; Metazoa; Chordata; Mammalia; Chiroptera; Vespertilionidae. The transcript has 5 exons.
GUUUAAUUCUGAAGAUUACUACGAACCAAAGUUUACAAAACACAUUUUUCUCACCCACACAUGCACACACACACGGCCACUGUAACAAGGCAGUUCCGAUAGAAAAACCGAGACUUCUCUAAGUACAUCACAGAGUAGAAGGAGCCCUGGCGGGAUUAGGGUUGUCCGGGCGCCACCACAGAACCGCGGUGUAGCGGGGACACAUCACCCCGCCUCUCAGGCUGCAAUCCGUAAGCUGUUCCUACAGCGGCGCCUUCCGACUCAAGAGACUGCUGAGACCAGCUCUCAGACUUUUUGGUCUCAGGGCCCCCGGGGAGCUUUUGUUUGCAUGGAUUACAACCAUUGAUAUUUGUAGUAUUAGAAAUUAAAAUUAAAAUUUACAAGACAAGUGUGCACAGAGACACAUUCCAUCGGCCCUCCGGACGGUGAGGUCCACAUCAUGCAGCCUCUGAAAAACAACCAACUCACAAGAAAACAAGCGUGGAAAAGGCAAAUAACAGCUUGGUAUUGUUAGGAAAAUAACUGUGACCACACGCUGAGGACCGCCGGCUUCAAAUGAGUGAUGGAUGAGUCAACUUACAGAGAAAGUAUUACCUCUACUACUACCUUAAAAAAAAUAAAGCCUGUGGCUCCUGCACAUACCACCUACCUACCAUGAAUGCUCCCACCCAGACCAAACCUUCAGAAAGAUAUCAGUUUCAUCUCAGGAACUGGCUUCCCCAUUCAGUUAUCUAUUACUCCACAUUUAUUGAUGAAUAUGUGACAAGUGCUGCCACCCUUCCACAAUGCCUGGCAUCUUAAAGUGGACCACCAGAACAGGACAGAUUCAAACCCUGCAGCAAUUUGAUUUCUAGACUUAAACUCAUUGGCACUCUUCUUGGAACCCCAAUGGAAUCUAUGUAAAUACUAAAGGCCCGAUGCAUGAAGUUGGUGCAAGGGGCUCAGCCGCCGCCACCACGGCAGCUGCCUCUGCCUUGGCCCCCGCUGCUGCAGCAGCUUCGUCUGGAAGCUCCUGUUGGAGACCAGGUGUAAGCUGACACGGUCCUUGCACCUGAAGGGGCUACCAAGGCUGGGACCCUUACCCACACAGUUUUCCCAGACUUGUUUGGAUGGCGGUUAUCAGUAGAAUGAGAGCAACCUUUGUAGAAUGAGAACAGCCUUUCAUGGC